CUCCUGGAAACGGGUGGUAAUGCCGGAUGUUCCACAUGAGCGCAUGCGAGUGUGGGAAAGGCUUUUUGCGGCAUGGGAUGGGGUCGCGUCCUAUCAGCUUGUUGGUGGGGUAACGGCCUACCAAGGCGUUGACGGGUAGCCGGCCUGAGAGGGCGACCGGCCACAUUGGGACUGAGAUACGGCCCAGACUCCUACGGGAGGCAGCAGUGGGGAAUAUUGCACAAUGGGCGCAAGCCUGAUGCAGCGACGCCGCGUGCGGGAUGGAGGCCUUCGGGUUGUAAACCGCUUUUGUUCAAGGGCAAGGCACGGUUUCGGCCGUGUUGAGUGGAUUGUUCGAAUAAGCACCGGCUAACUACGUGCCAGCAGCCGCGGUAAUACGUAGGGUGCAAGCGUUAUCCGGAUUUAUUGGGCGUAAAGGGCUCGUAGGCGGUUCGCCGCGUCCGGUGUGAAAGUCCAUCGCUUAACGGUGGAUCCGCGCCGGGUACGGGCGGGCUUGAGUGCGGUAGGGGAGACUGGAAUUCCCGGUGUAACGGUGGAAUGUGUAGAUAUCGGGAAGAACACC
Molecule: ribosomal RNA, 562 nt
Filed under: uncultured Bifidobacterium sp.
Lineage: Bacteria; Bacillati; Actinomycetota; Actinomycetes; Bifidobacteriales; Bifidobacteriaceae
Description: bacterial SSU rRNA
Rfam family: Bacterial small subunit ribosomal RNA
Source: RNAcentral